GAUGAACGCUGGCGGCGUGCCUAAUACAUGCAAGUCGAGCGAACAGAUGAGGAGCUUGCUCCUCUGACGUUAGCGGCGGACGGGUGAGUAACACGUGGAUAACCUACCUAUAAGACUGGGAUAACUUCGGGAAACCGGAGCUAAUACCGGAUAAUAUAUUGAACCGCAUGGUUCAAUAGUGAAAGACGGUUUUGCUGUCACUUAUAGAUGGAUCCGCGCCGCAUUAGCUAGUUGGUAAGGUAACGGCUUACCAAGGCAACGAUGCGUAGCCGACCUGAGAGGGUGAUCGGCCACACUGGAACUGAGAAACGGUCCAGACUCCUAAGGGAAGCAGCCGUAGGGAAUCUUCCGCAAUGGGCGAAAGCCUGACGGAGCAACGCCGCGUGAGUGAUGAAGGUCUUCGGAUCGUAAAACUCUGUUAUUAGGGAAGAACAAAUGUGUAAGUAACUAUGCACGUCUUAACGGUACCUAAUCAGAAAGCCACGGCUAACUACGUG
This 497-nucleotide ribosomal RNA is filed under the name uncultured bacterium. RNAcentral's name for it is "partial 16S ribosomal RNA". It matches the Rfam family "Bacterial small subunit ribosomal RNA", at positions 28 to 507 of the family's 1533-position model. The record is from RNAcentral.